GAAAUGCGAUAAGUAAUGUGAAUUGCAGAAUUCAGUGAAUCAUCGAAUCUUUGAACGCACCUUGCGCUCCUUGGUAUUCCUUGGAGCAUGCCUGUUUGAGUAUCAUGAAAUCUUCAAAGUAAAUCUUUUGUUAACUCAAUUGGUUUCUACUUUGGUAUUGGAGGUCUUUGCAGCUUCACACCUGCUCCUCUUUGUUCAUUAGCUGGAUCUCAGUGUUAUGCUUGGUUCCACUCGGCGUGAUAAGUUAUCUAUCGCUGAGGACACUGUAAAAGGUGGCCAAGGUAAAUGCAGAUGAACCGCUUCUAAUAGUCCAUUGACUUGGACAAUACUUUUAUGAUCUGAUCUCAAAUCAGGUAGGACUACCCGCUGAACUUAAGC
Molecule: unclassified non-coding RNA, 378 nt
Filed under: plant metagenome
Description: partial contains 5.8S ribosomal RNA, internal transcribed spacer 2, and large subunit ribosomal RNA
Rfam family: 5.8S ribosomal RNA (bases 1-105)
Source: RNAcentral